Molecule: ribosomal RNA, 365 nt
Filed under: Pyrofomes castanopsidis
Lineage: Eukaryota; Fungi; Basidiomycota; Agaricomycetes; Polyporales; Polyporaceae
Description: SSU rRNA
Rfam family: Bacterial small subunit ribosomal RNA
Source: RNAcentral
AUGUCGUAAGGGAAAAUAAUGAUAAUACCUUACUAUGAGUGUCGUCCAAAUCUGGUGCCAGAAGACUCGGUAAGACCAGAGACGCAAACGUUAAUCAUCAUAAACAGGCGUAAAGGGUUUGUAGGCAGCUAUCAGCAGACUAUAAUUUCAAAAUAAAGUAGUCUAAUUGUAUAGCUAGAAUCAAAAAGAGGUUAUAGUGUAUAACGCCUAGAGGAGGGCUGAUAUCCUUAGAUCCUAGGCAGAAUACUUAGGGCGAAGGCCACUUUCCACUAAUGAUUGACGCUGAGAAACGAAGGUUAGGGUAGGAAAUAGGAUUAGAUACCCCGGUACUCCUUUCUGUAAACGAUGAAUGGUAGUCAUUAGUU